GUGCUCACUUUGGCAGCAAAUAUACUAAAAUCGGAACAAGAGAGAUUAGCGUGGCCCCUGCGCAAGGAGAUGACACACAAAUUCGUGAUGUGUUUCACAUUUUU
Molecule: small nuclear RNA, 104 nt
Organism: Callithrix jacchus (white-tufted-ear marmoset)
Lineage: Eukaryota; Metazoa; Chordata; Mammalia; Primates; Cebidae
Source: Ensembl